Molecule: long non-coding RNA, 282 nt
Organism: Arachis ipaensis
Lineage: Eukaryota; Viridiplantae; Streptophyta; Magnoliopsida; Fabales; Fabaceae
Source: RefSeq, a predicted model, not a curated record
GCGCCGCUUCCAACUCGUUUUUCGUUAACAACACCUUGUUCCUCACCAAUGUCAAUUUUUCACUCUCUCUCUCUCUAUAUUCAUUUUGAUUGUCGUUUUUGCUUCUUCAAUUGUCGUUUUGUGUUUCUUGUUUCUUUCAGGAUGCGUUCGAGAGGCACCGCAUGGUCUUUACGGUUGGGACUUCCAUUGCCUCCGUUGCCACUGCUUGGAUCGGGUAUUCAUUGCGCCAUUUCCAUGAUGAAAAGGUUGAACAAAGGCUUGAAUCAAUUGAAAAAGCUGUGA